This 579-nucleotide long non-coding RNA is filed under the name Anser cygnoides (Swan goose). RNAcentral describes it as "lncRNA (ENSACDG00005013427.1)". Lineage: Eukaryota; Metazoa; Chordata; Aves; Anseriformes; Anatidae. The record is from RNAcentral.
AUGGUUAACCAUUACCAGUGGUUAAAUAGGGGGCUUUCAUGGAAGAUUUCUGUCAAAGUGUUAGAGCUUCUCUCAGCUGGGGGAGUUUACUGGGAUGAAGCUGGCAGCAGACACACUGGCGUUAUUUGGCCAGGUUAUAGUUGUGUGUGUUUAGCAGACUGUCAGUGGAAACCAGGCAAUGAAAGGAUUAACUGUCAGACUUCUGAAAACUACAAGCAAGGCUUUCUUGCUGCAGGUCAGAGACUGGAAUAAGGUGUCAUUCAGACUGGAGCUUCUUUCAAGGAAUGAGAAUUUUGUGUCCAAGAUAGCUGAAAGAAUGUUCACAAUUCAAUCCAAAGCAAUGAGGUAAGAAAUGUAUUUUAUCUGUCCUCUUCUCUUCCCACAUCUAAGUUCUAUGUAUGUUCAGUGCCUUGUUUCUGUGGGUGCUGAGGUGAACAUUCCUUCUCUCUUCCAGAAUAGUGUAGUAUACUAGAGUUUGGGAUAUAAAAGUCUACUUGCAGCCAGAAGUCCAUAAUUUAAAACAUGAAGGUCUCUGCACAUCUAUUAUCUUUUUCUCUGCCAUUUCAUGUCCCCCCAGCC